RNAcentral lists this long non-coding RNA (572 nucleotides) under Bos taurus (domestic cattle). Its description in RNAcentral is "long non-coding RNA NONBTAT005879". Lineage: Eukaryota; Metazoa; Chordata; Mammalia; Artiodactyla; Bovidae. The record is from RNAcentral.
UUCCUACUUGGAGUGAUCUUGCAACUAAAGUUGAGAUGGGGGACUAUUCCUGGAAACUCUGCAUGCUGUUUCCAGCUUGUACAUCAAAAAAGGAAUUAGUGAUUGAUUCCCCUGAUCACCAGCUCCCUUUCUGUAGUCUGGGAAGUUAAGAGGCAGACCUGGCUACUAUGUGAUUGUGUAGAUGAGAUUCAUGCUGAAGAUGGCAUAACUGCCCCCAACAUCCCUGGAUUUCCUACUUCUGAAUUUUUUGCUACUUCAGAAAAAUUAUCUUCAAUUUGAAACAUUGUAUAAUUGCAUCCUGUUUAAGAACAUCUUUAUUUCAUAUCACAAGUAAUAUGUAAUCAUAAACUUCUGAUUUUACAUUGUGUAUAUUUCUUAAUGAUCACAAAAUGCCAUAAGAGAGGUAGAGAAUUUUGAGGAGUGGUAUGAGCAGAUAUGAUUUUGGUUGUUGUAAUAAAGUCCUUGAGUGGCAGGGAGAAUAGUUUAGUUCAAUUAGGAGGUAACCUGGGGAAGGAGCUGAUCCCAAGAGUAAAUAUUUCCUAUUUAAAGAACUCUACAUGGUAAAACAAUAG